This 254-nucleotide ribosomal RNA is filed under the name uncultured bacterium. Its description in RNAcentral is "partial 16S ribosomal RNA". It matches the Rfam family "Bacterial small subunit ribosomal RNA", at positions 524 to 776 of the family's 1533-position model. The record is from RNAcentral.
UACGAAGGUGGCAAGCGUUGUUCGGAUUUACUGGGCGUAAAGGGCGCGUAGGCGGUCAGCACAAGUCAGUUGUGAAAUCUCCGGGCUUAACUCGGAAAGGUCAACUGAUACUGUGCGACUAGAGUGCAGAAGGGGCAACUGGAAUUCUCGGUGUAGCGGUGAAAUGCGUAGAUAUCGAGAGGAACACCUGCGGCGAAGGCGGGUUGCUGGGCUGACACUGACGCUGAUGCGCGAAAGCCAGGGGAGCGAACGGG